UGAGGAAUUUUGCGCAAUGGGAGCAAUCCUGACGCAGCAACGCCGCGUGGGUGAUGAAGGCCUUCGGGUCGUAAAGCCCUGUCAGGUGGGAAGAAUGUCCCGGGACUGAACAGGUUCCGGGAGUGACGGUACCACCAGAGGAAGCACCGGCUAACUCCGUGCCAGCAGCCGCGGUAAUACGGAGGGUGCAAGCGUUAUUCGGAAUUACUGGGCGUAAAGCGCGUGUAGGCGGUCCGGCAAGUCUGAUGUGAAAGCCCCGGGCUUAACCCGGGAAGUGCAUUGGAAACUGUGGGACUUGAGUACUGGAGAGGAUGAGGGAAUUCCCGGUGUAGAGGUGAAAUGCGUAGAGAUCGGGAGGAAUAUCAGUGGCGAAGGCGCCCAUCUGGACGGUAACUGACGCUGAGACGCGAAAGCGUGGGGAGCAAACA
Molecule: ribosomal RNA, 428 nt
Filed under: uncultured prokaryote
Description: bacterial SSU rRNA
Rfam family: Bacterial small subunit ribosomal RNA
Source: RNAcentral